Bombina bombina (fire-bellied toad) is the source of this 447-nucleotide long non-coding RNA. RefSeq lists it as uncharacterized. The record is from RefSeq and is a predicted model, not a curated record. NCBI's taxonomy places the organism in Eukaryota, Metazoa, Chordata, Amphibia, Anura, Bombinatoridae. The transcript has 3 exons.
CUUGGGUUUUCAACAAACAUCUACUGUACAACAACUCAGAGAACUAUAUUGUACAUGAUGGAAAGAGAGAGACAUCUGAAAUACAAACUGGAUUCCAGAUAUGACUAGUACAUUUCCUCAGAAGAGAAAGAAUGAAAUACCUCAUAAUGUGACAGGAAACCCUGAAGCACAGGCAGAGAUGGAAUGUACAAAAGGGGGCUCAUCACUCUUCGAACAAACUUCUCAAUGUACCCGGCUGUCAUAGGACCUUUGUACUCAAUGGGUCCGAAGCUGCAAAAGAACAUUAUUAAUAGCUUAAGACACCGCAGACUAAACGCUAUACCCCUAAACCUAAACCCACUGGAAUCCGAGUUGUGCUAGUUCCAAAAAAUAUUAAAUUUGUGUGUCUGAUGCCACCAUUUAUAAAGCACUAAGAACUCCCAAAUUAUUUAUCAGCAUUAAAGAAAU